UAAGUCUGAUGGAGCACGCCGCGUGAGUGAAGAAGGGUUUCGGCUCGUAAAACUCUGUUGUUAGAGAAGAACAGCCGUGAGAGCAACUGCUCACGGUAUGACGGUAUCUAACCAGAAAGUCACGGCUAACUACGUGCCAGCAGCCGCGGUAAUACGUAGGUGGCAAACGUUGUCCGGAUUUAUUGGGCGUAAAGGGAGCGCAGGCGGUUUAUUAAGUCUGAUGUGAAAGCCUUCGGCUUAACCGGAGAAGUGCAUCGGAAACUGAUAAACUUGAGUGCAGAAAAGGAUAGUGGAACUUCAUGUGUAGCGGUGAAAUGCGUAGAUAUAUGAAGGAACACCAGUGGCGAAGGCGGCUAUCUGGUCUGUAACUGACGCUGAGGCUCGAAAGCAUGGGUAGCAAACAGGAUUAGAUACCCUGGUAGUCCAUGCCGUAAACGAUGAAUGCUAGGUGUUGGAAGGUUUCCGCCUUUCAGUGCCGCAGCUAACGCAUUAAGCAUUCCGCCUGGGGAGUACGACCGCAAGGUUGAAACUCAAAGGAAUUGACGGGGACCCGCACAAGCGGUGGAGCAUGUGGUUUAAUUCGAUGCUACGCGAAGAACCUUACCAGGACUUGACAUCUUCUGCCAAUCUAAGAGAUUAGACGUUCCCUUCGGGGACAGAAUGACAGGUGGUGCAUGGUUGUCGUCAGCUCGUGUCGUGAGAUGUUGGGUUAAGUCCCGCAACGAGCGCAACCCUUGUCUUUAGUUGCCAGCAUUAAGUUGGGCACUCUAGAGAGACUGCCGGUGAUAAACCGGAGGAAGGUGGGGAUGACGUCAAAUCAUCAUGCCCCUUAUGUCCUGGGCUACACACGUGCUACAAUGGGCGAUACAACGAGUUGCGAAACCGCGAGGUCAAGCUAAUCUCUUAAAGUCGUUCUCAGUUCGGAUUGCAGUCUGCAACUCGACUGCAUGAAGUUGGAAUCGCUAGUAUCGUG
Molecule: ribosomal RNA, 973 nt
Filed under: Fructilactobacillus sanfranciscensis
Lineage: Bacteria; Bacillati; Bacillota; Bacilli; Lactobacillales; Lactobacillaceae
Description: bacterial SSU rRNA
Rfam family: Bacterial small subunit ribosomal RNA
Source: RNAcentral